Molecule: long non-coding RNA, 3878 nt
Organism: Oryzias sinensis (Chinese medaka)
Lineage: Eukaryota; Metazoa; Chordata; Actinopteri; Beloniformes; Adrianichthyidae
Source: Ensembl
AUGGGAACGCUACCUUUGGACAAAGCCUGUAUUUUCAUUUGUUUGGCUUUGAUUCUCACAUUCACAAGUGCUGAAAGACAGUACUUCAACGAGUCCCAACAGCUUACUUGGGAUGAGGCCAGGAGCUACUGCCAGGUCUGCUAUAAGGAUCUAGUGGCUCUGACCUCAGACAAUGUCCAGGUAAUAAUCAAGAUGAUUGACACAGACCACUGGAUUGGCCUUCGCAAGCACUUCCCCAAAAACGUGACAGACAAAAACAAUUUCACCAGUGACAGCAACUUCACCAGCAAUGACAACUUCACCUAUGACAAGGGCAGCAAAAGCAAUUUCAGCAACAUAGAAAGCAUCAUCAACCUAGUUAACAACACCAACAUCACCACUAGGCCUCCCUGCAAGACUUGGUGCAAAUGGUCCAAUGGGGAUCCCCUUAUCUUCCAGAACUGGUAUCCUGGCAUGCCAGUGUUUAAAUCUCGCCUCCCAGAAAUAAAAUGCUGCAGUUGCUCUUGCACAUGCCCAGGAUCAACAACCAGGGUUACGACGAGACUUGCCCCGUUUACAGAAUCACCCACUGUACAGACCAGUGUUAUGUAUUCUCCUCCUGAAAGUACAGGGCAAAUUGAAAUAACCAAGGCCAGUGAAGGAACAACAGACGAAACAUAUCAUGUUCCAUCCACCCCAUCGGCAGCAUUUGGGAAAACAGAAGCCAGAACAACUCAAAUGAGCAGUACUAUAACCACCAAUCAAGAGGAAAUUACUACAAAAGAAGAAAAACCAACUAUGCCCACCAACCAAAAUAUAUUCCUAAAUUGCAGAAUCAAAGAAAGAACCAACCAAGAGGGACUUACCACCAACCAGGAGGGACUUAGCACUGCAAGAGAGAGUACGACGGACAGUAAACAUUCAAGACAAACCACAACCCAAGAGGGAAUUAGCACUGCAGGAGAGAGUGUGACUAAAGUAGGAGAUCUCUCAGUAACUACAACCCAAGAGGGAAUUAGCACUGCAGGACAAAGUGUGACUAAAGUAGGAGAUCUGUCAGUAACUACAACCCAAGAAGGAUUUAGAACUGCAGGAGAAAGUACAACUAAAGUAGAAGAUCUCUCAGUAACUACAACCAAAGAGGGGUUUAGCACUGCAGGAGAAAGUACAACUCACUGGAAAGGUUGUGAGACCACCAACCAAGAAACGUUGCUAACUUGCAAAGUAGUUGAAAGCACUCCUGACACUGGAAAUUGUUUCAAAACCACCACCCCAGGGGACAUUAGCACAGUUUCAGAUAGUACCACUGUUACAGGAAAAUCCUUUACCACAGACCAAGAGCAAAAAAGCACUUUCCAAACAAACAUCUCUUUCACCACUGCCGAAAUAACUCACAGCCCAGUCACUCAAGAUACAACUGGAAAGACAACAGAUCAACAGACGCCAGUGACAUCUACAAAAAGCACAACAACUUUUGAUGUUUUCGAGUCCUCCACAGGCUCCCUUUGGACAACCACUCUGCCUUCAUCAGAAGCAACAUGUGAACAAUCUCCUGUGGAGAUUCCACUUCUCGCUGAAAUUAAUGAAAACUACAUUGAGGACUCUUGCGUGGUCAUAACUAGUUUUGGACCUUGGAUUGAAAUGAGUUGCUCAGAGAUUCUUCCUUUUAUUUGUUAUGAAGGUACCUACAAACCAAAGCCUGCACACAUUGUAUGAACAUAUAAUAACAUAUGUUAAACAUUGUUUGGACUGUUCAUGAAUGCAUCAUUUUAAAAAUUGACUUGAAAAAAGUAUGUCCAUGCCUGAAAAUUUUACCAGCAUUUUUGUGCAGUUCAGUAAUGGCAUUUUAGUGCUCUUUGAAAUUGAGCUGAAGGUGUCUACAUACCAUUGACUGGAUAUGAGAACUGGACCAAGCAAGUGUGAUGUCACCCUAGAAAACAGCUUCCCUCAAGCUCCAACGAAACAGAGUCAAUUUGAUCAGUGAUUUUUCCAAGUCAACAUUUCAGUGGCAAACACUUCCACCAGAAGUGAGCUUGUUGGAACUCCCCACCCCAACCACUUAAAAGCAGGGUCAGGAGAAUCUGUCAGUGAAACAAUCAGCGUAUGAUAACACACUUUUAUCAGGGCAUCUGAUUUGUCAGUUUAUAACUUCAUGUUAUGCCCCUUUUUGUGUCAAGUGAUGGCCUGGAAUUAUGGACUGGAGUCCCUGUUCAAUUUUAAAGUUGGCAACUUCUACUAUAUCUUCAGUCAAAAUACUGAGUUUAUGUGCUAUUUACUAAAAACUACACAGUCAUAAUACACAACUCUUUGUGAGGAGAUAGCUUUGUUAUGAGUAUUCAUUUUCUUUUUGCAUUACUACAUAAUUAGAGCAGAUAAGGCAUGAAAACAGAUGCAGCAACAAUCGCGUUUCAUGCUUGCUAUAAACCGUGUGCGUGGGGGGCAUGACAUUUCUAAAGCACAGCUGGCUCAACCAUAGCUGAGCAAACGGCGGCCCUUGCUCCGUGGGCAGGGCUCGAGAAGUGCAUGCUUGUGGACACUGCUUGUGGGCGGGAACUGCAGACCCGGCAGCAGGAGCCAUGGCAGGACGGCCGGGUCCGAUGGCGCGUCUCGUUCUCACUUCUAGCAACAUGAAUAACUUGCGCUUUAGAAGACGUAUCAUGAAGGACAUAGGAUUUAUUUGCAAGAACGUGUAAAAAAAAAAGUAUUAGAGCCAAAAUGGCUAUUCUGCCAAGCAGAAUGACUGAGUAAUAGCUGUUUAUUUCUCUAUAGAACUGCUUGGGAUUUUGAUGGGUACUUCCUAUUUAGAACUCGAGGGGAAGGGGUCACUCAGUUCAUUUCUCGUAUACAGCCAAUGUUACAUAUCUACUACACACAGACAGGACUCCCUCAAGUGUCUGUUAAUUUUUUUUGUUUGUUUGUUUUACAUGCAGUGGGGAAAAAAAGUAUUUAGUCAGCCACCAUCAGUGCAAGUUCUCCUACUUAAAAAUAUGAGAGAGGCCUGUCAAUUUCAUCAUAAUUAUAUUUUGGAAAAAAGUCCAGAAAAUCACAUUGUCUGAUUUUUAAAUAAUUUAUUAGGGAGUUGAAAGUCUGUUUUGCCCAAUAGCCCUAAAACAUCACUGCUCUAGAGGAGAUCUGCAUGGAGGAAUAUGCCAAAAUACCAGCAACAGUUUGUGAAAAGCUUGUGAAGACUUACAGAAAAUGUUUGACUGCUGUCAUUGCCAAAAAAAGGUAUAUUAUGUUGAUCUUUUGUUAUUGACCAAAUAUUUAUUUUUCAGCCUAAUUUACAAAUAAAUAAUUUUGGUGGUUGAUUAAAUACUUUUCUGCCCCACAGUAUAACACAGAUAAGCCUGACUUCUGCUCAGCUGUUAGCUUGACAGAGAAAUACAGUUUACUUCCUUGAUAACUUCUCAUUGAACUGUAUUUUCUUUGCAUCUGUUAAUGUCCUUUUUCUUUAUAAACAGACAGAUUUUUCGGUCAAGUCAAUGUGACGAACGUAACAUCAGGGAGUGCCACUCUGACCUGGCUGCCUGGACCCGGUGGCAUCAGUCAUUAUGAUGUUGAGGUCACAGGUGACAUCGAACUGUACGAAAAUGUGACAGAUUUGACCCUUGACCUUUUUAACCUCACGGCAGGAAGCUACUACAAAGUUCAGGUGUUUCCAGUUAAGUGUUACCGACGCCUCAACCCCCAGAAUGCCUCCUUCUACACCAGUAAGCUAAAUCCAAUUCUUAUUUUCACUUCAAAUUCAAUAAUUAUGGAUUUAUUUUAGAGCUGCACGGUGGGAAUAGUGGUUAGCACUCUCGCCUCACAGGAUCGAACCUUGUGUGUGGAAAUUACAUGUUCUCCUCAUGCAUGUGUGGGGAUUUCUCCAGUGACAUCAACAAAAAGGAAAGCAACCA